RNAcentral lists this long non-coding RNA (268 nucleotides) under Sinocyclocheilus anshuiensis. RNAcentral's name for it is "lncRNA (ENSSANG00000040865.1)". The record is from RNAcentral. Lineage: Eukaryota; Metazoa; Chordata; Actinopteri; Cypriniformes; Cyprinidae.
CACAGGGUGAACCAGGACAGAAAGGGGACCCAAGUCGAACAGGUGAGAAAGGAGAUCAUGGACGUGCUGGGAUUACUGGUAUGCCUGGUUUACCUGGGACACCUGGUAAACCUGGUGUUGAUGGGAAACGUGGAGCAGCUGGAAAAGAUGUAAGUUUAAUAUAUUAUUGUAGUUCUAAAUGCUUUUGAACUUUUUGUAAAACCAAACCACUGGGUUUUUUUUCUCCAGGGAGAUCAAGGACCAAAGGGUGAUGAAGGGACAAAGGUGG